CAGACGGUUCUGGAGUCUGAAAUCCUCUGCUGAUUUACUAGACAGGUACAGCAUGAGCAACAGACAGUGCUUCCACUUUCUUUUCAGUGUGCUUCAAAUCUGAACAGAAAAAAAAUUUCCAGUUUCCUUGUACAUUCAGACUCUCUAUUUCUUGAAAUGAUCCUGA
This 166-nucleotide small RNA is filed under the name Dromaius novaehollandiae (emu). RNAcentral's name for it is "TUC338 (ENSDNVG00000007923.1)". The record is from RNAcentral. Lineage: Eukaryota; Metazoa; Chordata; Aves; Casuariiformes; Dromaiidae.